GAUGAACGCUGGCGGCGUGCCUAAUACAUGCAAGUCGAGCGAACGGACGAGAAGCUUGCUUCUCUGAUGUUAGCGGCGGACGGGUGAGUAACACGUGGAUAACCUACCUAUAAGACUGGGAUAACUUCGGGAAACCGGAGCUAAUACCGGAUAAUAUUUUGAACCGCAUGGUUCAAAAGUGAAAGACGGUCUUGCUGUCACUUAUAGAUGGAUCCGCGCUGCAUUAGCUAGUUGGUAAGGUAACGGCUUACCAAGGCAACGAUGCAUAGCCGACCUGAGAGGGUGAUCGGCCACACUGGAACUGAGACACGGUCCAGACUCCUACGGGAGGCAGCAGUAGGGAAUCUUCCGCAAGGGGCGAAAGCCUGACGGAGCAACGCCGCGUGAGUGAUGAAGGUCUUCGGAUCGUAAAACUCUGUUAUUAGGGAAGAAAAUAUGUGUAAGUAACUGUGCACAUCUUGACGGUACCUAAUCAGAAAGCCACGGCUAACUACG
RNAcentral lists this ribosomal RNA (495 nucleotides) under uncultured bacterium. RNAcentral describes it as "partial 16S ribosomal RNA". It matches the Rfam family "Bacterial small subunit ribosomal RNA", at positions 28 to 505 of the family's 1533-position model. The record is from RNAcentral.